AAGUCGAACGAUGAGGCCCCUACGGGGGUACAUCAGUGGCAGACGGGUGAGUAACACGUAGGUAACCUGCCCUCGAGACGGGGAUAACGGCUGGAAACGGUCGCUAAGACCCGAUAUAGUCUGACCUUCGGGAGAAGGUGAGAGGAAAGGCUUCGGUGCUCGGGGAGGGGCCUGCGGCCCAUCAGCUAGUUGGAGAGGUAACGGCUCCCCAAGGCAAUGACGGGUAGGGGGUGUGAGAGCAUGGCCCCCCACACUGGGACUGAGACACGGCCCAGACUCCUACGGGAGGCAGCAGCAGGGAAUAUUGCGCAAUGGUCGGAAGUCUGACGCAGCGACGCCGCGUGGAUGAUGAAGGCCUUCGGGUUGUAAAAUCCUUUUCCGGGCGAUGAGGAAGGACACUAGCCUGGGAAUAAGCGUCGGCUAACUACGUGCCAGCAGCCGCGGUAAGACGUAGGACGCGAGCGUUAUCCGGAUUUACUGGGCGUAAAGCGCCUGCAGGCGGUCAGGUAAGUCGGUUGUGAAAGCCCCGUGCUCAACGCGGGGAGGCCAAGCGAUACUGCGUGACUUGAGGGCGGAAGAGGGGAGUGGAAUUCCCGGUGUAGCGGUAAAAUGCGCAGAUAUCGGGAGGAACACCAGUGGCGAACGCGGCUCCCUGGACCGCACCUGACGCUCAGAGGCGAAAGCUAGGGGAGCGAACAGGAUUAGAGACCCUGGUAGUCCUAGCCCUAAACGCUGGAUGCUAAGGUGUAGGGCUGAUGAGGCUCUUGUGCCUGUAGCGCACUCGAUAAGCAUUCCGCCUGGGUUUUCUGCCGCAUGGUUAAAAGUCAAACGAAUUGACGGGGACCCGCACAAGCAGCGGAGCGUGUGGUUUAAUUCGAUGCUACACGAAGAACCUUACCUGGGUUUGACAUGCUGGUGGUACCGAACCGAAAGGGGAGGGACCCUUCGGGGAGCCAACACAGGUGCUGCAUGGCUGUCGUCAGCUCGUGCCGUGAGGUGUCGGGUUAAGUCCCGUAACGAGCGCAACCCUUGCUCUUAGUUAUACGUGUCUAAGGGGACUGCCGGCGACAAGCCGGAGGAAGGUGGGGAUGACGUCAAGUCAGCAUGGCCUUGAUAUCCAGGGCUACACACACGCUACAAUGGCCGGUACAAAGGGCAGCCAAGCCGCGAGGUGGAGCGAAUCCCAGCAAAGCCGGUCCCAGUUCGGAUUGCAGGCUGCAACCCGCCUGCAUGAAGUUGGAGUUGCUAGUAACCGCGCGUCAGCCAUAGUGCGGUGAAUACGUACCCGGGUCUUGUACACACCGCCCGUCACGUCAUGGGAGUUGGCAACGCCUGACAGCGGUAGCCUAACCGAAAGGAAGGCGC
This 1365-nucleotide ribosomal RNA is filed under the name uncultured organism. Its description in RNAcentral is "bacterial SSU rRNA". It matches the Rfam family "Bacterial small subunit ribosomal RNA". The record is from RNAcentral.